Molecule: ribosomal RNA, 930 nt
Filed under: Triticum aestivum (bread wheat)
Lineage: Eukaryota; Viridiplantae; Streptophyta; Magnoliopsida; Poales; Poaceae
Description: partial small subunit ribosomal RNA
Source: RNAcentral
AUGAUUUUGUGGCAAAUAGUGGAUCAACCCAACUGUGUUGCUGCCAUGCGAGACAGGACAGCAUACGCCUGUGUCAGCAAACACUCCGACUGCUACGAUGUAGAAGGCUACAUCUGCGUCUGCAACCCCGGCUAUUCAGGCAACCCCUUCAUUAAAGAAGGCUGCUCCAAAGACAAAGGGUAUAAUCCAAUUCCGAGUAGGGUUGACUGUACUCGUCGGUGUGGUAACAUUACUGUGGAAUUCCCGUUUGGCUUAGAAGAGGGUUGCUUUGCCCGGGAAGAGUUUCACCUCAACUGCACAAAUACAACGUCAUCGACUGUUCUAAUGCUGGAGGAUUUUGAGGUGGCCGGCAUGAAUAUUGAAAAAGGGACCUUUGAGUACAACGACCAUAGCCCUGUAGAACAAAUAUCUGGAGGACGCAUCCUUUUUGUGGGUUAUGAGUUUUUAUCCUCUCUGCAGUGGGUAGCUGCCAAUCUAAGUUGCCUAGAAGCCCAACUUGAUACAUCUGGAUAUGCUUGUGUGAGUAUCAACAGCAGGUGCGUGGGAGUAAAUGCUACAAUUGACUAUAGAUUUUCUGAAGCUACUAAAGAAGACACCUAUGUCGGUUAUCGUUGUAAAUGCACUGACGGCUUCAAAGGAAACCCAUACAUCCAAAAUGGCUGUCGAGAUAUUAAUGAAUGCCUCCAACCAAACAUCUGUAAAGCGAACUGCCAUAAUAUUGAAGGAAGCUUCUAUUGUACGGAGUGUCCUCGCGGUACCGAGUAUGAUCUGGACAAAAUGCAGUGUACAACAACAAAACAACAAAUUCUGCUUUCAGGUAUUAUUAUUGGGUUGUGUGCUGGCUUCGGCAUUCUAGCUCUGAGUUUUAGUGCAACAUUUCUCAUUCGUAGAUGGAAUAGAAAUGUUCAACGGCAACUACGGAAGAAUUGA